Molecule: ribosomal RNA, 491 nt
Filed under: uncultured bacterium
Lineage: Bacteria
Description: partial 16S ribosomal RNA
Rfam family: Bacterial small subunit ribosomal RNA
Source: RNAcentral
AGUGAACGCUGGCGGUAGGCCUAACACAUGCAAGUCGAACGGCAGCACAGUAAGAGCUUGCUCUUACGGGUGGCGAGUGGUGGACGGGUGAGGAAUACAUCGGAAUCUACUUUUUCGUGGGGAUAACGUAGGGAAACUUACGCUAAUACCGCAUACGACCUACGGGUGAAAGCAGGGGAUCUUCGGACCUUGCGCGAUUGAAUGAGCCGAUGUCGGAUUAGCUAGUUGGCGGGGUAAAGGCCCACCAAGGCGACGAUCCGUAGCUGGUCUGAGAGGAUGAUCAGCCACACUGGAACUGAGACACGGUCCAGACUCCUACGGGAGGCAGCAGUGGGGAAUAUUGGACAAUGGGCGCAAGCCUGAUCCAGCCAUACCGCGUGGGUGAAGAAGGCCUUCGGGUUGUAAAGCCCUUUUGUUGGGAAAGAAAAGCAGCAGGUUAAGACCCCGCUGUUCUGACGGUACCCAAAGAAUAAGCACCGGCUAACUUCGUG